Magnolia sinica is the source of this 1532-nucleotide long non-coding RNA. RefSeq lists it as uncharacterized. Lineage: Eukaryota; Viridiplantae; Streptophyta; Magnoliopsida; Magnoliales; Magnoliaceae. The transcript is spliced from 5 exons. The record is from RefSeq and is a predicted model, not a curated record.
CGACCAAGAUUUCUACAUGAGAUUUGAGUAAGAAAUUUGCUACAUUUAUUAAGAUUCUCGAAUCUAGUCAUGAUUAUGCUCAAUCCAGGGUUGAAAUUUACCCAAAAUUUGAUAAGUUCACCUUUAGUUAACCCUAAGUGCUGAAAUUUGUGGGGAUUAUCGUCUUUAAUUAACGAGAUGUAUUAGGAAAAUUAAAUUAUCUUUCCUAGUGCAAUUCCUUAACUUUAGGGAGUGCUUAAGUACAAUUCGAUGUACCAUAUAGUGUUAGGAUUUCCUAAGAUGUUUAAGUUGUCUCAUUUACUAAAUAGUUGUGACAAGGUUAUUUCUAAGAGAUUUUUGAGAAAUUUCAUAUCCUAGAUUUUAAAAUUUUGUCCCAUGGGAGUCAAGUCUAAGAGAUGUUCUUGCAUAUUAUUCUCCCAACGUAUCUAAGUUUAGUUUCUAAGUUCAAACGACUAAACCCAAAAUUUCAAGGAAGCCUAAGAUUUGAAGUAUCUAUGUUCUCAGUUUUCCCUAACUCUAAGGGAAUUCUAAAUAGGUUCAAAUGGCUAUCCUAUCAAUUUCAAAGGGAACUUAUGUUUGGGUCUUUAUAUUCUCAAACUUUUUUUGUUUAAUCUAAAGAAAAUUUACAUAGGUUAAAAUAUCUAAUUCUAACUUCCUAGCUUAAGACAUUUAAGGUCUGUAUAAGUUUGUUUCCCAAAGGCAGGGUUUGUCUAGACUCUCUCUGAUACCAUCUUUAAUUGCACUUAUACUGUGUUUGAUUUCUGUUAAUCGCACUUUGAUCUUGCAUUGACUAUCAUUGGAUUAUCUGCUAACAUCCAGGCUUUCAAGAAACGAGUUACAUACUCGGGUCGUCGGAAGAGGAUUGGAUGGUACGUAUUCCGGUCGAAAGCAUUUCGACACCUGCAUUCAUCUGAAUAGAAUGUUUUGCUAGUUUCUGCCUUCUUGGUUUUUUACUUUCAUCCUCUCGCAGGCCGCGUUAAACGACUUCACUCAUAUCUACGAAGACAGAGGCGUCUAUAGCAUACAUCCUAGUAACAUAUUUUUAUCCUUGCAGAAGUAUUCGGUCUACUGUAUUGCUGCAACAUUUUAUGAAUGUUAUACAGAUAGAUCAUCACAUAUUGAGUGGGAAUAGUGGAGGACCACUUCUCGAUCACUUAGGACGCUUAAUUGGGAUAGUCGUAUCAUCAGCUCCCAAUUUUGGAUUUGCUAUCCCCAUUGAUUCGGUCAUGAGCUGUGCGGGAAAGCUUUUGAAGCUUAAGAAAGCGCACUAGACAAGACAAUAGAUGAUGAUGGUUUUGUUCCUCGAUUAACUAAUGGCACACCGAGAACUUGUAAUUAAAGAGAGCUUCAAAAAAUACUCACUAAGGAGUUAUUCAGGGAAAUAAUGCCAUCGGUGGUGCAAUCUUCGACUGUACUCGUGCACACAAAAAAGUGGGGUCCGUUGCAGGCCUACUACUAUAAGUCAUCGCCGUAUGCGGCUAAAGACAUAGCGUUGAUCAAAGUCAGGCUUUCAACUUUUCCAUUUUUGUUAU